UGGUAAUAACGCUUUCACAAACACAAAAGAGUGAUGCCACUACCAGAGGCAUACAGCAGUGGCAGCUCGGCUGCAUAUGUCCGCAUCCUUCCCCAGGUGGCGUCUUUACAGUGACACUACUAGCUGCCAAGUGCCAUGCAACUAGAAGCUACCUCUUUGUCAGUUAUACUCCACGGGGACGCCACUAGUCUUCUCCCACCACUAAACAGCAUCAUUCGACUGCACCCUGGUGGCUGUAUUUCGAAGCAGUUUUCGUGUUGUGCUAGUGACUGCUGAUGUGUGUCGUUCGACUUCAACGUUAUUUUUCCAAUUUGUUAUUUGAAAAAUGUUAAAAAAGUGGUCUACAGUAACAAUUGUGCACUUUUUAGAACUAUAUGAAGAGCGACCAUGCUUAUGGAAUCACAAAUAUGAAUCGUACAAAGAUCGUAAUAUGAGAGAGCAUGCCCUUUUAGAAAUUGUAAAUUAUAUGCGGAAAAUAGUCCCCGACUGCAACUUGGCACUUGUUAAAGCAAAAAUUAGGAGUAUUAGAAAUGCAUACAUUAACGAAUAUAAUAAAAUUUUAAAAUCUCGGAAAAAUGGUGCGUCUGCAGGUGAUGUCUAUAAACCAACUGUUGGUUGGUAUGCUACAGCAGACAGGUUCCUGAAAUAUGUCGUGGAAACACGAGAAGCAAAGGACACUCUGGAAUAUGAGGGAUCAAUUGAUAUAAAAGAAGACAAUAUUUCUGUUCAUUCACCAGGGUCACCCAUGACAGAACAGCCACAACAGGAACCUCAGAGCUGCAUAAAAAGAAAGUAUCCUUUCCACAGCAAAGAACCAGAGAAAAGACCCAAGAGCAAUCAGAAAGUGGAAGCUGUUACAGAAGCUGUUGCGGUAUUAAGAGAAAUAACUGAAAAAGUGGAAGAACUGAAGCAGGACGAACUGGAUGCAUUUGGGAAAACAGUAGUAGCGUAUCUCAGAAAAAUGCCAGAUGAUGUUGCCUUGGACUGCCAGGCUGAAAUAAUAAACUACUUAAUUUCUCAGAAAAAGGCUUUGCUGCAAAGUGCAGAUGGAAGCAACAUUCACAGUGUAUCAGAUUAAUAACUACAAAAGGUGAUGAUAUCUUCCUACUGUGUACCACCCUGUAGAGCAGUAACUCAAUGUGAGAACCUGUUCACCUUUGAACUGUAUGCAGCUAUGACCUUAAGGCAGACAAUGCCCAAACGAAAAAGAGGAGGAGACCUUGCCAGUUCUGAACCAAAAUGGCGUAAACAAAGUGAACAGCGACUAAAUGAAGCAAAAUAAGAACGCAAAGCAUGUUUAAGUUUCCAAUGAAUGAGAAUGAGCACCGUGACAAUCAGAGAAACCGAAGAACAAUGAAAUCAACGCAUUGAAGAAUCAAACAAUGCACACGGCCUUAAAAAAGAGGGACAGGGAAUUCAAGACAGCCAUGAAAAUAUCACCCUUCGAAAAGCGUCAACGAGGACAAGGAAACAGUACAGCCUAUCAAAUGAAUCAUUGUACUAUUACCUGACAAAAGAAUAUAACAAUCACAAACACACAAUAAUCGGAAAAGUGGAUAUCUGCCAAUUUUGCAACGUGAAAUAAUUCAGUAGAGGAACACCAGGGC
Molecule: RNA transcript, 1607 nt
Organism: Schistocerca piceifrons (Central American locust)
Lineage: Eukaryota; Metazoa; Arthropoda; Insecta; Orthoptera; Acrididae
Exons: 4
Source: RefSeq, a predicted model, not a curated record